This 465-nucleotide ribosomal RNA is filed under the name Vreelandella stevensii. RNAcentral's name for it is "partial 16S ribosomal RNA". It matches the Rfam family "Bacterial small subunit ribosomal RNA", at positions 338 to 795 of the family's 1533-position model. The record is from RNAcentral. Lineage: Bacteria; Pseudomonadati; Pseudomonadota; Gammaproteobacteria; Oceanospirillales; Halomonadaceae.
CCUACGGGGGGCAGCAGUGGGGAAUAUUGGACAAUGGGGGCAACCCUGAUCCAGCCAUGCCGCGUGUGUGAAGAAGGCCCUCGGGUUGUAAAGCACUUUCAGUGAGGAAGAACGCCUGGUGGUUAAUACCCAUCAGGAAAGACAUCACUCACAGAAGAAGCACCGGCUAACUCCGUGCCAGCAGCCGCGGUAAUACGGAGGGUGCGAGCGUUAAUCGGAAUUACUGGGCGUAAAGCGCGCGUAGGUGGCUUGAUAAGCCGGUUGCGAAAGCCCCGGGCUCAACCUGGGAACGGCAUCCGGAACUGUCAAGCUAGAGUGCAGGAGAGGAAGGUAGAAUUCCCGGUGUAGCGGUGAAAUGCGUAGAGAUCGGGAGGAAUACCAGUGGCGAAGGCGGCCUUCUGGACUGACACUGACACUGAGGUGCGAAAGCGUGGGUAGCAAACAGGAUUAGAUACCCCGGUAGUC